RNAcentral lists this ribosomal RNA (406 nucleotides) under uncultured bacterium. RNAcentral describes it as "partial 16S ribosomal RNA". It matches the Rfam family "Bacterial small subunit ribosomal RNA", at positions 30 to 526 of the family's 1533-position model. The record is from RNAcentral.
AUUGAACGCUGGCGGCAGGCCUAACACAUGCAAGUCGAACGAGUGGCGGACGGGUGAGUAAUGUCUGGGAAACUGCCCGAUGGAGGGGGAUAACUACUGGAAACGGUAGCUAAUACCGCAUACCAUCGGAUGUGCCCAGAUGGGAUUAGCUAGUAGGUGGGGUAACGGCUCACCUAGGCGACGAUCCCUAGCGGGUCUGAGAGGAUGACCAUCCAAACGGGAACUGAGACACGGCCCAGACUCCUACGGUAGGCAGCAGGGGGGAAUAUUGCACAAUGGGUGCAAGUCUGAUGAAGCCAUGCCGAGUGUAGGAAGAAGGCCUGCGGGUUGUAAAGUACUUGCAGCGAGGAGGGUUGACUCGCAGAAGAUGCAUCGGCUAACUCCGUGCCAGAAGCCGCGUGAAUAC